This 477-nucleotide ribosomal RNA is filed under the name uncultured Candidatus Scalindua sp. RNAcentral describes it as "bacterial SSU rRNA". It matches the Rfam family "Bacterial small subunit ribosomal RNA", at positions 365 to 832 of the family's 1533-position model. Lineage: Bacteria; Pseudomonadati; Planctomycetota; Candidatus Brocadiia; Candidatus Brocadiales; Candidatus Scalinduaceae. The record is from RNAcentral.
UUCGCAAUGCCCGAAAGGGUGACGAAGCGACGCCGCGUGAGUGAGGAAGGCCUUCGGGUUGUAAAGCUCUGUCAGGAGUUAAGAAAUAUAAGUGUGCUAAUACCACGUUUAUUUGACAAAGGCUCCAAAGGAAGCCACGGCUAACUCUGUGCCAGCAGCCGCGGUAAUACAGAGGUGGCAAGCGUUGUUCGGAAUUAUUGGGCGUAAAGAGCACGUAGGUGGGUUUGUAAGUCAGAUGUGAAAGCCUUCUGUUCAACGGAAGAAUUGCAUCUGAAACUGCGAGUCUUGAGUGUAGGAGGGGAGAAUGGAACUUCUGGUGGAGCGGUGAAAUGCGUAGAUAUCAGAAGGAACGCCGGCGGCGAAAGCGAUUCUCUGGCCUAUUACUGACACUCAGUGUGCGAAAGCUAGGGGAGCAAACGGGAUUAGAUACCCCGGUAGUCCUAGCUGUAAACGAUGGGCACUAAGUAGAGGGGCAUU